RNAcentral lists this ribosomal RNA (474 nucleotides) under uncultured bacterium. Its description in RNAcentral is "partial 16S ribosomal RNA". It matches the Rfam family "Bacterial small subunit ribosomal RNA", at positions 29 to 523 of the family's 1533-position model. The record is from RNAcentral.
AACGGACGCUGGCGGCGUGGAUAAGACAUGCAAGUCGAACGAGAGAAUUGCUAGCUAGCUAAUAAUUCUCUAGUGGCGCACGGGUGAGUAACACGUGAGUAACCUGCCCCCGAGAGCGGGAUAGCCCUGGGAAACUGGGAUUAAUACCGCAUAGUAUCGAAAGAUUAAAGCAGCAAUGCGCUUGGGGAUGGGCUCGCGGCCUAUUAGUUAGUUGGUGAGGUAACGGCUCACCAAGGCGAUGACGGGUAGCCGGUCUGAGAGGAUGUCCGGCCACACUGGAACUGAGACACGGUCCAGACACCUACGGGUGGCAGCAGUCGAGAAUCAUUCACAAUGGGGGAAACCCUGAUGGUGCGACGCCGCGUGGGGGAAUGAAGGUCUUCGGAUUGUAAACCCCUGUCAUGUGGGAGCAAAUUAAAAAGAUAGUACCACAAGAGGAAGAGACGGCUAACUCUGUGCCAGCCGCCGCGGUAA